Long non-coding RNA from Numida meleagris (helmeted guineafowl), 20021 nucleotides. RefSeq lists it as uncharacterized. The record is from RefSeq and is a predicted model, not a curated record. Lineage: Eukaryota; Metazoa; Chordata; Aves; Galliformes; Numididae. The transcript has 6 exons.
CUUGGUGGACCUCACCUUGCCAUGUGCUUUUUUUCCAGCUUCUCGUACUGCGUGCUGACCUGGUCUGCUGGCAGGCCUGCAUUCCCUUGGGCUGCCAGGAGGCUCACCGCUGCUCCACCACUUCCAGGACAUCUGGGAUGCAGUCUGCUGGUAGCACUGGCUGGCACCAUCACCAACUGGAGAGAGGCAUAGUCUUUUUUCUUUUUUUUUCAGAAGAUCUUGUAUUUGAAACGUGAUCCCUGAAAUGAGAUCAAGUUAGCUGUCGGAUCCUCUUCUCUGAAGAGAGUAUCACUGAGGAACAGCUUGAGAUAAGCAGUGCGAACCAAAUGAGAGAUCCCGAUGGCUGUCAGAUCAGAGUAGCAGCAUUUGGCCAAGAAGACAAUCUGCCUUCCAGAUACAGACACUUGCCAUAGCUGUUGUGGUGUGCUUUGGAACGUGAUGUCCUCCACAGGUGGCAGCCAGCAGAGAAAACGUGGUUGGAUCUGCAGAGAUGUAGCCCGAUGCCAGGGCUGUAAGUGACACUAUGCGGGAUACAGAAAAUUGUUCUUGGACACUGUGCAGGUCUCUGUAGGCAGAGGGCUGGCACUUUGGAUUGCAACAUUACCGAAACGAAAAGCGUGAACACUACAGGAAUUUCUGCUCUAUGGAAAAAUGUUAUUUUUGGAUUCUUCAGGAAGGCGUGCGUAUGAAACCAGCAGUUCCCUGCAACAUUACAAGGAUGGAAGUCGUACCCUCUGACAGCCUCGUGUCCACUCUGUGGGGACGUCCCGGAGCCCAGGGUGUCUGCCCAGGAGGGGACCUGGCUGAGCCACCGCAGCGGGACCGUGUCCUGGAAGGAGGCAGAAACCAUCCCCAAGAGCAGCUCCUGCCCCAGACUCACACACAAAGCCCCACUGUGGCCAUGACCCUGCCAGAGCCUUGGGAUGCAGGCAGGCAUCACUCACACACAAACCUGCAUCUGCUUCCAAAACUAUCAGCACGUGACAGCUCCACAUCCCGUGGAAAUGCUAUCCUUCAGAGAGAAGAGCAGCAUCUCCAUGACCCCAGCUGAAGGUCCAGUCCCCGCACGUGAUUUGAUGGGGAUUCAGGUGACAGUGUAGAAGCACAGGAUGGACAGACAGCUCCAAACCCUUUGUAAAACUGGGAGCAGAUGUGGAAGUCAGCUCAGAUCCAAGUGACUGCACUCCCAUUCUUUUUACGUUUACCAUAAUGGAGCUGUGGGCUUCCAAGUGUCCUGCGCUAUUGAUUGCAGAUUUUAAUGAGCUUUAAAUUACCGAAGAGGUCUGUGGGUCAGAUGCCUUAGGAACAGGAACUGUUCCCAGAUGCUGAAUCCGGGGUUCAAAAGGCCCUCCUGAAGCCACGCAAGCAGGACACCCAUGGCCCCGCUGCCAAGAGCCUGAGUGCCCUUGCCUUGCCCUACUUAUCUGAAGAGCCUGUCAGCAUGUUCUAUAACCAGUGGAAACCACUUUAGAGCCGGAGCCAGACACCGAGGUGCCGGGGUCCACAUUUCAUUUCUUUGCAUGGGAAAGUUCUGCAGCAGUGGAGCCAGACCCUUCCCCGAGCAGCAUUCUUCUGCCUAUCUCGUUCUCAGCCCUGAGCUGGCAUGUUUGAGGAUUGACACAGGCCCUGCAGUUUGUAGAUUUAUUUUUCUUUUUUUCUAGGAAAGAGAAAAAUGUGGCCAUCAACAAUUGUUGCAAAAGGUUAAGCUGUAGCAAUUUUUAGUGCAACGUGAGAAUUUUAAUGGUGUGCUUGCAGAGAAUUCAAGCUCCACUGUGGGAAGUGUCUCAGCACUCUAUAACCCAAGCUCUUCUGGAUUCACCUAUGGGAUAAACCCACCCCUAGCACAGCCUUGCUCUUACCACACUGCUGCCCCACGUCUUGCACCAUUUCCCUCAAGCUUUUCCUUCCUGGACCAGUCAGUUUUGCAUUGCUGCAAAGCGCAAGCAGGACCAACAGCGCUUCCCCACUGGGAAGGAUGCGGGAGGUGGGCACGAGGACUACGGAGACAUGGGAACAACAGCCCACCACAAUGGCCUCUGAGCAAAGCAGUCCUACACAAGUGGUCACAGGAUCUCACCCAGAGAUGGGAGAAAAGCUCUAACUCACGGAGGCUCUGCAACGCAGACGUUUCUUUGUCAGGAGAAUGUUUUCCUAGGGACAGGUUCUUCUCCUUAAGAAACACUUCACAUAUUAUUACUUUACACAGAUUCCUGGUUGGGGAAAAACAGUGUUUAAAACCAGCCAGAACUGUUAAAAUUUAUGGUAUCAAAAUAUAUUCUGUCCAAAUAUUUAUACCGUAAACCAGCAUCGUUAACUGUCCCCUCGUGCUGCUCUUGGGAAAGAGGGGAGAGGAAUCUGAGACGUCUGAUGUGUAAAUUCCUUCGUUUAUCACUGUUUUAUUGCCUGGCAUGGCAACAAAAAGUGGCUUUAGAGUCUGAAUGAAUCUGGAUCUGAAGGAAUUCCUGUUGUCGAACAGCCCUUCUGUGGGCUGCAGGGGUGUUUUCUAAGUGACAUAUUUCCAGAGGCACCUACACACAUACUUGGCGUCCCAGCCCGCAUGCCAGCACAUGUUGUGAGCCUACAAUUACCCUCCAGGAGUUGAGCAAGCACGCUCCCAUUGAAUUGUCUGGCAGCGGGAAGGGACGUGGGGCUGUGGAUGAAGAUAGGAGGCGGAAAUAUGUCUGCGCUGAGACCAGGAUGCUCUAAGCAUCGUGCCUUUGCCUUGAAGUUGUGUAAAGUUUGUGUCCAGCUGGAUCCAGAUGCAGCUGCCAGCACACCCCGUGAGACCCCCACGCUGCCGCUGCUGCCCCACUUCAUCCAGCAGUGCCAGGGGUCUGCCCAUCGCACAGCACUGAGCUCCCUGCUACCGCAUCGCUCCAGGGCGAGCAAGCAGUGCUGCAGUCCUUCGUAAAAAUGAAUUGUUCUGCUUCCUGGAAUUAUUACUUUGCAUCGUAUCGCUUCUCUAUUAAUUACCCGUGCUUUUGGAUGAAAAGCAGCAGAUAGACAGGAGCGCAUUAUGUGUGUGAUUGAAGAGGCGGGGUUACGGUGUCGCUCCCUUUUAUUAUCUCACUGAAGUUUGGGUCUAAUGGAGUGGCUGUCCAUAUUCGCGUUCGUUUGACUGUGAAUGCCUGGAAAAAAAGGCAUCUAUGGGUUUAUUUGUCUUGGCAAAGGCAGUCUGAUACAUACAAUGCAUCUUUAGUUUUUGUAACAAGUUGAAAAACAGGCUGGAAAUGGGGAUGUCUGGAGAGCACGGUGAAGGGCGUCUGGGCAAGAGCCCGCACUGGGAGCUGCAGAGGAGCCCAAGGAAGCUCCAAAGGAAUCUGAAGGAGACCAAAGGAUCUCCAAGGAGCUCCAAAGGUGUCCAAAGGAGCCCAAAGAAGCUGCCAGGAGCCCAAAGGACUCCAAGGAAGCUCCAAAGGAGCCCAAAGGAGCUCCAAAGGUGUCUAAAGGAGACCCAGAGAGCCUGGAGGUGUCCAGUGGAGCCCCAGGGAGGUGCUGCAGUGGGUCCCAGCUUGUGCUCCCACUCCUCUGCCAACCUCAGGCCUCAAGUCUGCCUUAAAACCCAACAAAUGUGUGUUCUUUUGCAUCGUAACAAGGCAGUUCUUUUUCUCUGCCCCCUCCUCUUUGUGCUAUUGGCAUUUCUGUUCCCUGUAACCAUGAGGGCUACAAAAUGUCUUCUAAAAAAACUGAAAGUUGAGAUUCUGGUAUAUUUACAGGUCUCCCAGGACAGAAGCUUUACAAAAGCCAUCAAAUAUGAGGAUACGACUGUACAAGUUGGCAGUAGUAAGGUUUUCAUGUCCAAGUGUUUGUGUGAGUGAAAGCCCAGAUUCUCGUUUGUCCGAACAUUAUAUGGUGCGAUAAGGUAACAAAGUGCAUGGCCAAGAAAAAGCAGCCUGCAGUUUCAAAGAUGGGAGGAAGGCACUGUAAAAAUGUGUUCCAUUAAGGAAAUGUAAGAAGGAUCUUCUGUGUCAGGCAGAGAGUGAUUUCUGGGGCAUAAGCAUGGGAGCAGGCACCUCCUGUAGCAUGGGGGUGUGCAGCAAGGGUUUGCAAGAGGCACGCAUCAAAGCAACCUGAAAUUUCUCGACCUCAGGUAUAAGCGGGUGAUCCAGGAAAACUGUUCCACGCUAUUAAAUGAAGAAAAAAAUGAAUGUGCUGUUCAUUUAGAGGUCAGAUGGAAACCUCAGCUCCUCACAGGUGGCAGCAGCGGCUGCAUGGCUGCCCAGAAUCCCAUCCCCACGUUGAUAAACCUCCUCAGUACUUGCUGUUACUGAUCUGCAAGGCCAAGCUCUGUUGCUCAGGAACGCCUGUAAUGGUUUCAGCAGGCAGGGUUUGGAUGUCCUCAGGCAGCAGAUGUGUCAGGAGUUAGCGAUCGCUCGUAACUUUCUGGCACCGUAGCAGGAGCGGUGCCAGCGCUUUUGUUGUGAAACCUAAACCCACGUGAACCGAGUGUCACCGGCAGCACGGUGAGGUCAGGCUCAGGGAACCGCCGAGCACGGGGCCGGGAGCUGAGGGCACGCGGGACAGCCCCGAGCUGCUCUGGGCCUGGCUCCAACUUGCCCGUGUUUCCGAACCGACCGGUCUCAGCCGUUGGCCUCAGCCUGCUUUAAGCUGAGGCUGUGCCUAAGUUUUAAGAGGAACCAUAAAAAAAUAUGAAGCAUGUGGAAAAGGGGACCUGGGAGCAGAGGAGGGCUGCAGGAGAUGGCUGCCAUGUGCUGUGCCAUAACCCUAACCCUCACCCUAAGCACCCAGCUGCUGGGGACAUCGGUGACAUCCCCAAGUGUGCAGGCUCCAUCCCUUCGUGGUGAGCCUGAGUCUUAAGAGGAAACCUGAUCUGAAAAAGCUCUGGCUGUGGGCUGAGCUCGCAUUUUUCCUACAAAGAGGCUCAGUGGGACCAAGCCAACCCUUCACAGCCUGAUGUAUUUUCUGAAAGGACGUUUGUGCACAGAUAAGAGCAUUCCCAAAGCUAUUUAUGUCCCAGCCAAAGGGCCCUGCAGUGGGAGAGGACCUGCAUUUUAUCUCCCAGUGGGAAAUGAGUAAAAUUAGUUUUCUGGGGGGACAGGGUGAGAGUGGAUGUUGAAUAGCCCAUCCCCACAUUACAGAUGGAGCUGGCUGGACGUUGGGCUGCUCUGGGCAGGCUUUGUUCCCCCUCUCCCAAACUGCGCCACUUUGGGUGAACCAAGAUCUUUAAGCAGGAAAAACCUGCCAGCCUCCAAAGGAAAACUUUUGUUUUCAGAAGUGGUCAGGGGGAUUUGGCCAUCUGCUUCCAGCUUGGAGAGCCGGGCCAUGUGAAUGCUGCCCAUUGGAUUUCCUUCCAUCACCAGGCUGUGAGUUUUAGUAGCAGACAGAAUUCAGCCUUACCCGGUCAUCCAAAAUACAUCUCAAGUAAAAUUUAACUUGGCACCUUUUUGAAAUUUGGCCAUCACUAAUUACGCCUGCAAUUAAUGGCCUGUUGGAGGCUCUGGGAGCUGAUGAACUUGAGUCUGCUCCAGGGUCAGGGCUUGGCUUCGAGAAAUGUUUUGAGAUACCGUUCUUAGGGAAGAUAUUUGACUGGGCUCUUCAUUUAGGACAUAGCCUAAUGGGUGCUUGGCUCAAGAGAGAACUAACAGCUACGCAGACUAUUUAAACGUGACCUGGAGAAAAUAGGUUGGCAGUGCGUGUUAAACAAAACUAUAGGCUUCUGCAAAAUGGAAACAAAAUGUAACCGUGCACCCAAAUCAGUGCCCUGAAACACAGCGAGACACCGAGCAGGCAAAAAGCUGGUAGUAGUUCUUCGCUGUCCCGUAAGCUAAAUGUGAUGUUUUGCUUUAAAAAAGCUGCCUCUUGCUUGUUUGAUUUUUCUAGCGUGAUCUUACAAAGCAUGGCCCUCCUGCUCCCCUCGGAAAAGCAGGAAGGCAUAUUAAGAGCGCUGAUAAAAGGUAAACAAACCAGGAGACACAGAGUUUCUUGAUAUGCUCUAAUUGAGCUCGUUUCCUUGCUUCGGCUUUGAAAAGGAACAGCCAUGAGGCAUUCUUGAGAGAGCCAAGUGAACUGCUGUUAUCUCAAAAAGGUCUCCUUCGUGUCUCGCUCGUGGGGCUCCAAGUCUGCUCCGGCCACUGCCUGGAAGUCUAAGAAAAGAAGUCUAUGGCCGCUGAUAAAGCACCCAUUUUUAGGCCUUGGGAAGGAUGGGGUUGUUGACAGUUCAUUCCUGCGAAAAUUCAGCGCGCUCCAGCCCCCUGAUUGUAAAUGGAAGGGAUCUAUGGCAGCACUAAUGCAAAAGGUAUGUGAUUAGAUAGUCCCGCCCGCUAUCUGCCCGGCUUCCCGCCGAUAGCCGGCCCUGCUGGUGCGAGAUGGGAGCCAUCAGCGUUGCCAGACUGACGCCAGGCCCUUCAGCAGCCGCCUCGCAGAUAAGGGGAGAGGGCUGCGAGCCUCACGUAACACAAUGUUUCCCCAGUGGGUGAACUUGAGCAUUUCUGGCUGCAUCUUGCACAGACAUCUUGCGGAGCCAGGGAAGGGAUAAAAUAUCGUUUCAGACUGUGAGGAGUCCAAAAGUUUGCUGCAAGAGGUCCUGUCACAGCUGCUCAUGGCUCGCUGCUAUCUCCCAGGCUUCAGCCCUCUCUUGGCUGAGACCAAAGUGAUGCCAGAAGGAGCAGCGCCCUCGGUUUGUGCUGGUGCUCCGUGCUCAUGGGACAGCCUGCCUCAAAGCCCGGGGCCGGGGCAGAAACAGAAGGAAAAUCUGCCCUGAAGGGAUCUGGGUAGUCGCAGCAAGAGGUUUCUUCCACCAGGAGCUUCACUGCAUCCUUUGGGUGAACAAUCCAGUGAGUGAUCCUUCUAAAGGCUUGUCCAUGCGGCCGUUGGGACUUCUGACAGUGCAUAGAAGGCCUUUGUAAGACUCUCCUCAGUGAGACGUACUGCAGUUAGGAUCUCAGGUGCACCAGUUGCACUCAGUGGGCCGGGAAAUGGUUUGGACCCACCUCCACGUCGCACCACCACAUGGCAGCUGCUUCCAGGAAUGUGCUGCAAGCGCUGGGUAGACCUGAACACCACACAGACAUCGUGUUUCCUUCUUAAGCCUUAUCUUCUCCCACACCCUCAAAGAAACUUAGAGCUUAUUCAUUCAUUAAAACAGAAGGGAACUUUCCUCUAAUCUUUUCCUAGUGACUCACAGGCUCUGUGGCUGCCAUCAGAGGCGUGACCGGGCUGUGCGUACGUUGACACGACCAGUCUCUGGUCUUCCCAUUUUUGGGUGCAAUGACCAGUGAUGGGAAGCGGAGUGGGCUUCCAUGCUGGGAGCCAAGCACUGGAGCUAGAAUGUGAUUCCUGGGGCUUAAGGUGAGGACGUGUGUGCCAACCUUUGCCCCAAGCAGCGUCCUGCUCUAGGAAGCAUCCCGUGGCCCAGCACACUGUGACACCGCAGGCAGGGAGCUGGGAGGGAUGCAGAGCACAGCGUGUGCUCCACCAGAGCUCUGUGUGGGCUCACGUUAGUCAUUGUUUGCAAGCGUCUGAGUGAUGGCCAGGACUGAUAGACAUGUCUGCAGAGCCUUGAAGGCUCGUAACUGUCGGCACAAAAGAGCCUCCUACUGAAAAUCCUUAACCUUAAACCUUGAAAGCCAGGAGCCUUCGCUGGCAGCUGUUUGCCACAGGGCACCCGGGCAGUCCUGCACCUACAAGGAGUGAGUGUGGAAUUCAUUUCAACCAAACAGAGCUGCAAACGGGAGAAAGAAUAGGGUGACAUUUGCAGCAAACGUUGCACUCACUAAAUAACAAGCCCUGGCUCCUCGCGUUGCAUUUCUGUGAUGCUUGUUUUGCUCUUCUCUAUGCUGGGUGCUUUUCUUCCUCUCCGUUUUCUCCAAAAUUUUCUAGUACUUGUUGUGUUUUCCGUGGAGAAACCACAUGCAGUGAGAUGGCUGUGAGGUGUCACAUGGAGUAUGCGUCUGAUUUUCCUAGCUUGCCAAUCCAGCAAGCUGGAGAUAAGUCUGAGUGGCUUCUUACAACAGCAGAGCUCAAGUGCAGUGAAUUAAUCCUGAAAGAAACGAGCAUCGUGCUGGGGGACGGAUGGAUGGCACGAGCUCCAACAUCCUGCUGGCUCCCAGUGCAUCACCUCCUGCAGCCAGAGCACAGUGUCCAGAGAGGAAGAAAAAGGGAAAACCCACUUCUCCUGUGGCUGCUGCUGUGUGUGAGUCCUGCUGCUCUCACCCUGGUCAUCACACAGAGCAUUUAUCUACAUGGGCUGGGCCAGGUUCUAGGAGCAGCUGUGGAGUUCAGAUGCUUUCAGUUCCCACCUGGAAGGAGCAGGGCGAUGUGUCUCCUGGCAGAGCUGUCCCGAUGGCUGCUGCAGCCAGCCCUCCAGCUGCUGCCCAUCCUGCCCGGUGCUGCUGCAGCGCAGCGUGGGCCACGCGCUGCUGGGAGCACACUGGAAACCAAGUUUAAACACGCAGACCACUGUUUAUUUCAGUGAAUCAUGCGUGCUUAGCACCUGAUCCUGCUAGCUCCAGAACAUCUCCUGGGAGAUCUUGAGAGCUCUCAAGUCCUUACUGAUAAUGCAAUUAUCCCUUUUCAACUGAAAACGAAGGCGGCAGCUCUGUUGUUUGGGGAGUUGCAAGAGAGGGCUCCGUGGUUUGGGUUUUGCUUAUGAAAACCCAUUAGGGGCUAGCUCACCCCGUUAAUUGCCCAAGUAGCAUCUUGCAACGCGCACAGAUGUGUGCAAACAAGUGGUUACAUGAACAACAGAUGCAGUUAAACACACACCUAGCUGCACAGCAAAUUGUUUCUGCUUGCUUGCUUACUGCGUGUAUCUCAGGAUGGGUUUGAGGAGCAGGACCACCGCGGCUGGCAGCAGCAGGAGGUGGGAGCAGCCAACGUCACAUCUGCACCCAUCACCUCACUGCCAGCCUGAUGCAGAUUGGAGCUGCCAGGGCAGGGCUUGGGGACUCCGAUGGAUUCUGAAUCCAGCCCUAAGCCAUUGGAAGCCAUUCAUCUGCCAGAGCAGAUCUCGGUGUAACCACUGAGCACCAUCUGACACAACCAGCACAAGUCCCACAUGGAGCAAAGUGCAUACCUAUACGCAGAAGCUUCUCUCAUGGUGCUUCCUGGGAGUUGCUUGGUGACAAGAAUAAUGUUAUUACACACACACACACAUGUUCUAUUAGGCAUUACCUGCAGUUAGAAUUUAUUCAUUGUUUUCCUUCAGCAGGCUCCAGCCCUGCAUUGUGAAGCUCCAUACAGAGCGGGUGGCAGAAGGGAGACAGCUCCCAGCGUUGGGGCCGUGAGUCACAUCCCUAUGUGCUUGGCAGGAUAAGACCCUUCACUCCUUAAUGCCUGAAUGGAAGGUCAUUAAAACAACACUGUGCUUUGGGGAGGAUACCAGCUCUAUGGCAUGCUUAGUUUAGAGGCAAGUGGAAGUCUUGCUUUGAGCCUAAACUGGUUCAUAAAGCAUGAGCUCAGAGCAGAGCAGCAGAGACACCCCUAGGACCAUCUGUGAUUCACUCCUGGCCGUAGCAGGGCCUGCCUGGGGCUCAGAAGCUGUAGGACAGCCCCUGCUCCAAGAGCGUGCAGACCACAGGCUGGAUGAAAUAUGGGAUGUGGGAGACACCCACCCACCAAUGCUUCAAGAAAUCCACGGUGGAAAUUGUUUUCACAGCCCAACAUCCCCAUGCGUCUGAAAUAACCCUAUCCCGGACGCCAGAUCUUGCUUCAGUCUGAUGGAGCUCUGAGCAACCCAUCAACCAAACUUCUGAUGGAGCAGUCAGAGCCAAGGGGUGGGUGAUGAAAUGUGCUUCUCUUUAAUCUGCCUGGAUUAGGUACAAUUCAUUGCUCACUGGGAAGGACCUGCAGCAGGAUAAGUGAUGUUAACAGCAGCUGAUCUGAUAGUGCCAGAGCAAGUUCCUACAGAGCAGUCACGUGGAGCUGGUGCAGAGGCAGAGCCCGGCUCUGCAGGGAGCCAGGGGAACACUGCCCCAGCUGAUGGACACGAGCUAUGUGUUCCGGAGGCCAAAGGCAAGGGCAAACCAGCGUGGUGAAGGCACCAGCCCCGAUCCGUGGGCACACAACCAUUUAAAAACAGGGAAGGGAAUAGCAGUAACCUACUAUAGUGCUGGUUGUGGUGUUUCUUGAUGCCGUCAAAAGGCAGCUGCGUUAUCAAAUCACAGAAUCACGCAGGUUGGGAAAGACCUCUGAGAUCCCCAAGUCCAACCCCACCCACCCCACCAUGCCCACUGCCCAUGUCCCUCAGUGCCUCAUCUCCACGGUUCUUGAGCACCUCCAGGAAUGGUGACCCCACCGCUGCCCAGCAGCAGUGCCGGUGCCUGACCGCCCUUUCAGAGAAGGUAUCUUUCCUAAUACCCAACCUGAACUUCCCCUGGUGCAAUGUGAGGCCAUUACCUCUCACCCUAAAUGAAGCUGUUCUGCUUUCUCAUUAGUGGAGAUAUCAGAAGAAAGGAAACACGUAGCUAUCUGGGGAUUUUGAGCAGAAGAAAGGUGUUGUUUCAAAAAAUGACUGGUUUUUGGCUGUGCUCUAUUUUGAGAGGUGGAGAGAAGGGCAGGGGCUGCUUUAAGGUUUGUGAGUGCUUGGAGCUGAACGCUCGGCUGGUUCUGUUUCUUGUUUCACCGAGAUGUGCGUUCACUUUCCAAACUGAACCAUCUCGAGCCAUUCUGUUUAUUAACAGCCUGCUUCUGGAGCCUUAGUGACUCCACACAGGGCAGUUAUCCCGUGCAAAACAAAGCAGGAAAAGCAAACAAUGCCCAGUGCUCACUUGCAGAGGAGCAAAGAGCAGCAGUGCCACCAACCCAUGAGGAACUGAAUGCUUCAGGCAGUGGGGAGAUGUGGCCCAGGGCAGAGCCGCCCUGCGGGGUGACAGCAGCAAUGGAGCAUUUGGAAACUUUUGUCUUUAGUAAAUGAGACCGUUGGUCCAGCAAACCAAAGGGGAUCUUCAUGGGUAGCAGCAUGGUUUGGGCUCGUGGGAUCUGAGUGGAGCUGGACCCCCACUGGGCUGAAAGCACAUGGAGAGAAAAUGGGGCUGUUCCAGCUCUCCAUAGGACGUCACCUGGCAUUGUGAAAUGUUGAGAGGGUUGUUCACGGUCAAAUAAAGCGUGGAGCUUUUCCCAUGGCAGGGAGAUGGCCCUAGAAAUGUUCUUCAUCGUGAAAACCCAACGUCACCCAGUUCCUGCCUUUCCCCUCCUCUGACUACAUAUCAAAUCCCCUUCACGUCCCUCGUUCCUCUGGGACCCGCAGCACUUCGUGCAUAGAUGACUUUUUUCUCUGCCAUAUUCAACUCAUGCCCCUCAUGAAGACAGCAGUGUGCCUUUCAUCAGUUCUAGCUCUUUGGUUCAUUUUUCCUACAGGGGAAGAAUUCGCUGUGAGCAUCCCUGAGCCCAGGGUGCUCAAUUCUGAGAAUAGUUUGGGGAAUGGCAACGUUACAAAAUGUCAUUUCAGUGGCAGCACAAGGUAUCUGCUUAAUGACAUCUUCAAGAUCCGGCAGUUCCAGUAAGGGAGUUUUUAUGAAAGCAUUAAAUCUGGGAUAAAAAUGGAUUAUUGGCACUUCCAGGGUUUGGGGGGAAAGGUUCGUUCUUGCUCUGAAUAAAACAAAUGGUUUACGAUUUUUCUGGGAAAUGAGGAUUUGCACAAAAAUGUUGGUUUGGUUGAAUGCGUGCUUGGACUUGCUCUCAAAACUUUGCAGCACUUUAAAAAUAGAAUGAAAUGGCAUUUACAAAUGGAGAUUAUUUCGAGUCAAAGCAUCAAAAUCUCUCAUUUUGAAAGGCUUUGAUUUUUCUCCUAAUAGAAAUUCGGCAUCCACAUUACAAGGAAGCGACCGGCCUUGGGCUGGUGCGUGUCUGAGACAGCUAAUUUUGUGUCUUUAGCUGAAAAUCACUCAUCUGGGCGGAGGAGCCGAUGACCCAUCGUCUGGGGAGGGCACCAGGUAGGCUGCGAGGCAAACGAACUCGUUAUGCCACGGGCUCGGCGGCUGCUUUGCUCCCUUUGAACACCGCAAGAUUCCUACUUGUUAGUCAUCGCGCAUGCAGUCGGACACAGAUUCUUUCUUAAACAUUCACAUAUUUUAUGAAGUUAGAAAGGCUUUUAAGAUGCACAAACCCCGAUGUUUUUAAUGAGUUUAACAACAACCAGGCGGAGACCAAAGCACGCGCAGUCCCUGGGUCUGACCCGCUCCCAAUUUCUACUUUCCAAAUUCUGAAGUCCCUGUGUUCCUUUCCAGACCAUGCAGGGCUGACAAAAACAGCUUGCUUCACUGAAGCUUCACCCAUAGAGGAAGAGUUUUGGGGUAUUUUGGGUUACCCAGCGCCUGCUAACCCACAGCACAUUGGCUUGUGCUGGACUCGCUUUGCUUUGUUUUACAGGGGAACCGUUUUGCUCCAGGUGUCCUGUACAGAAACCCUCUUUCUCGUGACAUUGCAUUUAACUGAGCAGCUAAAUCCCUACUCCAUGAGGCAAAAACCUGCAGCUGCCAUGCAGCAGAGGCAUUGCAGCUCUGCAGGGACAGGAGCUCAGAGCCCCAUGCAAGGGCAGGAAAAUGAUUCCAAAACAUUCACAAAACAUAAGACAAAUCGUGAAAUAUUCAUUUAAAAAAAAAAAAAGCUUGAAUGUUAAUUCCCACUCGCACAUCAGCAGCAAAGUAGAUUUUGGAGAUGAGGAAAUGAAACCACAAACCCAGUAAGCUGCUCGUGGGGUGGUAUAUGGGGCUCAGCACUGCAAAGGAGAGCAGUGAUUCCAUCAUGCAGAGGGUUGGGCUCCAGGUGCAGUCCCCGAUGUCACACUGAGCCUUGCGUGCUCCUCCUGCUCCCAGCUCAUGAGCAUUUCAUCUUAUCAAUGGAAGCACCCCCGAGUUGAGUUGGGCAUUCUGUACAAUUAUUGGGAGCAAUAGUUGGUGUCAAGAGUUGUGUGCAGAAAAAGACAUUUUUAAUCUCUUUAACACCUUUUUGAUUUUGCCCAACUCUUUGGUGAUUCCUAGCCUGAGCAAGACCAAGCACCAUGUGCACAACCAAUAGGUUGGGAGCCCCACUCCUCCUCCUGGACACGAACCCAUCCAUCCCCAUUUCCCCUUGCAUCCAGAGGCUCAGAGCCACAUCCCCUUGUGGGAUCUGAUCCGCGGGUGACUCUGUGUGCAUUACCAGUUGCUUAUUACUCAUGCUUCCAGCAGGACGCUUUCUUUAUCUGCAGCAAAUCCCCCCCAGUGCCAUCACCCCAGCCCCAUCUUUGCUUUAUCUCUGCCCGCAGUGGGACUGAGCCUGCCCGCAGCCCCGCACCGCCAGCCCCGCGCCUUCAAAGGCAGAACGGGGCUCUGUAACUUGAGUCUUUAACAACACAUGGCAGAAGCUACAGGAACUGGCCUGUGUCAUGUCUCUGAAUGGCUUCAUAAAUAUAACACCGAGGAAUUUGGAUGCUCUCGGGUGAUGGAUGUUUGCGUUCUAAGGGAUGCGCUUUCUGCCUUGCCCUCCGGAGCAGCCAUAGCCAUCGUGCAGCUCCUUAUCCCAUCCCUACGGCCCAGAGGGCAGGAUUCAGCCCGUGCCACCCAUCCCCAACCCACCACUGUUGUUGUUGACCCUGAUUCCCACCCACCCCGGACACAGAAGCCACACGCAGAAAGAUCCGAUGCAAAAAAAAAAAAAGAAAAGAAAAAAGCGAUGGAAUGUAUUUAUCUGCAAACAAUAGCGUGUCUGGAUGGAAAAUCAGUGUUUUACACCAGUCAUGUGGUUGCUAUUACUGUUUUCCAAAACACCCAGAGGUACUUGAUGUGUUAAGUAUGAGCGGCCCUGUGCUCUUUUGCUUAAAAAGCGAAGUGUGUGUGUCUGCACCUCAAAGUGCUCUUGCGUUGAUGCCCAAAUGGCUGCCGGAGGAACUGCCCAUUUAUCUGCAGGCAUGGGCUCGCUUUGGGAGCAAGAUGCCACAGGGGGCAUCUGCACGGCUCCGUGAUGGCGUUUCCACGUUCCUUUGCCAUCCCUGGUGCAGGAGAGCGUGGACGGAGCCGGAGGGCUUGUUUCCUCGUGCAAACCCAAGCUGUGCCGAUGGCCAUUGAGCGAGGAUUUCCAUUUUUGGUGCGAGCUCAGCCUUAAAAUAGACAGUCUUCAGCGAGGAAGAAACUCUGUUGACAGAACAUAGGGAACAUUCUUCCCGCGGCUCUCGCUCGGGGCUAUCUCGGCUUUAAUCUCAGUGCUUCCUGCAGGUCUCCCCGGCCCCACUUCCCUCCCAUUGUUGUGGGGUUUGGAAGUGACCUCAGGCUGCAGACGGCAGCCCACGGGCAGUGACUAACCCGCCUGUCUCCAUCCCUUGGACAUGUCCCAUCCACUAAAUAAAUGACAGGCACCGACACGUGAAUAGAAACACAAACAGCCCGACAGGGAGAUCUUAACUGUUUGUGGCAGGGAGAUGUCCCAGCAGUGCUGGGGAGGGGACGGCAGCGCCGCGCGUGGGGCAGAGCGGUACCAGCUGCAGGGCGCCGAGCCUCCGAUAUUAGCUUUAAUUGCUGGGGAUUCUUUUCUGAAGCUUUUAUCUCUGCACUGCUGUAAUUAAAAGCGCGGCCGUGCGUCUGUGUGUCUGUCUGGCUUCAGCGUGAAUAAUUCCAUUGCGAGAGGUAGCACCGUGAGGACACGCUGCAGUGCUGCGACCCUACAGCAUACCUAUAGGGAUCCCUACGAGCAGCCAUGGGUCAGCCCACCUGGCCCUACCUGUGGCACACACACGCAUGGUCCCACUUCCCCCCGCAUCCACUGCUGGCAGUGGUGGGGAUGUUCACACCGAUGCUGCUCCUAAAUGGUGAAUGUGGUGCCCCAUCCCUGCAGUGCCCGAGGCUGGGCUGGAUGGGGGCACCCAGCCCACGGUGGGGGUUGGACUGGGUGAUCUUUAAGGUCCCUUCCAAUCCAACCAUUCUGUGAUUCGAUGAUUCUAAAGAGAAUUGGUGCUGGCCACAGCCAGACAUCAUGACCAAACCCCAACCCCAGCAUCCUACAGCCAAGUGAGACCAGACCGAGCCGUCCCAGCACGCUCUGCCUUUGAAAUCUAACAAUAGUUUCACCAAUAAGAAUAGAAUGAGUGUUAAUAAGCUACAUUUGUGGAUUUUUUUGGUUGGAAAAGCAGGAAAGUAUUCUCUUUAACAGAAUCAAAAUCUCUUUUAAAUGCUGUAAUUGCAAUAAUUAAUAAUGCUGCUUAGCAGUUAUUAGCACUCGGUGCAUUGUGUGGAUGUCUGCGUUAGCUAAGGUUUAAUAACGAGCUUCAUAUAAAGCCAGGAGGAGAAAAUAACGAUAUGGGGAGUGGCUGCAGCGCUGUGGUCUGAUGGCUGCUUGCUUUAAUGUAAGUAACAAAUAAUUCCCUCUGGCUCUCAACAUUUGUGGAUAAGGCCAUAAAGAAGAAAAUAAGAAAAAGAAAAAAAGGAGGAAACCUCAGCUCAUAAACAUGCUGCCCUUGCUUUACGGCUUCGAGAGAAACCUUUGUUGUUGGGCUAAUGGCGGUAUCAGUAACGAGCAGUGGGACAGUGCGUGUCAUCCCCCGGUCCUAUGCGUGUAACAGUGGGGCUGUUCUUGGUGUCACUGUCACUGUCACUGUCACCCAGCCCGUGUCACAGUGAGGGGAGUUGGAGGACAGCGAUGCCCUAACCUGGCUUUGGAGACUAAUGGCUUUUUGUGCAAUGCAUCUUAUUCACUUUCCUCCCAAAUGACUCUUGCUGGUAGAUGCUGUUCAGCAGCGGCUGUCCUCUGCCCCAGGGCUGGGUGAAACUCAGGGCAGAGAGACACUGUGCCUUGGGAUGUGGGAUAGUGGUUGUGGGGACCCCAGAGAGUUCUGCACCUCUGCACUCUCAGCUCAGCUCACUGUAUUCAAGGUCAGCUGGACGGGCUCUGAACACCUGAUGGAGCUGUGGGUGUCCUGGUUCAUUGCAGGGGAGGUGGACCAGGUGGCCUUUAAAGGUCCCUUCCUACUCAAACGAUUCCAUGAUUCCAUGAUUCUGAGAUCUGACUGGCGUAGGUUCAUCACCACUCGCUCAUUAGCUAAAUACAAGGAGUUAAUCCCCACCGACCCCGUAAGUGGCUGGGUUCCAUCAGGCAUCGCAGCCAGCUCCAGCACUCCAUCUGCUCGCUCGUGUCCCGGAUCAUGAUGGGCUGGGCUGGUGGGGAGCUGUGGACACCCUGCAGCCCCCACCCCACCGUGCCCUUCUGCACGAGCAAGCCCUGCAGAUCCCUCCCGCAGCCGCAGUCGAAAGAGAGUUUCAGCACCAAAAGAGAUACACUAGGGCAUUUCAGCAACGACCGCCCCUGCUCCAGAUUCAGAGCAGAGCGGACACUCUCCCUUCUGCCCCAGUGAUUCUCACAUCCCCAUUUUGAGGCUGCAGACAUCUGGGGAGGCACCAGACCGCACCGUCCCGCAGACACAUCCCAGACCCUCUCUGGAAGCCUUUUUAUGCCCUCGCUGCCUUCAGCCCAUGACUCAGUCCCUAUUUCUAUUCUCUUCCCACUUCUGUUCCUCCUUCCUUCAGUCGGCGGCAGCAGCUUCGCUCCUGUGCUUUGUGGCUGCUCUCGCCGGGUUAUUAUUGGAGACGACUGCGAAAUAACAGUGCUGCUCUUUAAGACGCUGCUGCACCGCUGCAGAAAACAUUUCCCCGCGCCGCGGUGAGCAGCCCUUCGCCGGAGCGCUGGCGUCGGCUCUGAGCGCCCCAGACGCCGGUCACCGAGCACAGAGCUGCUGCAACAGAACAAAUUGCCCAGGGCAGCAGAUCCCGGGGAGGGAGAAGAGCCAGCAGCCCCGUCUGUCUGUCUGUCUGUCUCUGUGUGUUUUCGAAGGGAGAAAAAUUAUCUUUUUACAAGCCUGCCCCAGUUGGCUCCGAGCGGCUCUUCCCAGAAAACACCAUCGUAAAUAGAAGAGCGAACCCUCGCACAAGCGGACAGGUUGCCAUUUAUAUCUGACCUUUCUCAGAUCUGCUUUGAUGUCUUCCUCAACCUAGGCUUCCUCCUGUCCUGCCCGCGGCGCAUUUAGCUCCCGCUGCUAGGAGAGCACCGCUGGACACAACAAACCCUCCGCAGUUAAUUAAAGCCAUUCUGAUAUAUAUAUCCACCUCUACUCCCUCUUUUUUGAACCGGCUCCGAAUGCAAUAAUCCCGCUUUAAUCCCCCCGUCCCGGGGAGCUUCCAGUUCAGUGUUUGCAAAUGGUAUAGGUAGAUAUGGAUAGGGAUGGGGAGAGAUCUAUUUUUUAAGGGUUCUGUGCUUGGCACAUCACCCAGUGACAUCGGCUGCUUUUCUUCCUUGGACAGAUCCGGCUCGAAAAUGGCAAUUCCCAACACCGAGCCAAAACAACAGCACAGGGCGCUGUCAGAACUGGGCGUUAUCUGCCUGGAAAGGAGUCCGGCCAGGCAGACUGUCUCCACAGGCUGCUGAACAAAUGCUGAUAAAAAGGCCAAACCCCUGUGUUUGUUAUGGGUGGUGAAGGUUUGCGAUGGAUCCCCUGGUGGACGAGGGAGGCUGUAAUUCCCUUCCUAUUGGAACACAGCAUCUGGUUGAUGUGAUAGUGCCAGGCUCCCACAGCCAGAACAGGACAGAUGUUUGUGGCUGGCUCUGCCACGCUGCCUGUGAAAACUGAGGCCAAGGGAGAUGCUUCGGGCUCCUUUGGGCUUAGAAAACCCCAAAGUGCUUUCACCAUAGGGCCUUGAACUGUGCUCAUGUCUUCAGAGAAUCAUGGAGUCAUGGUAUGGCUUGGGUUGGAAGGAACCUCAAAGCCCCUAAUGCCCACCCUGCCAUGGAUGGCUGACCCCACAGCUUGGGCUGCCCAGCACCCACCCACGGCCUCGGGCGCUGCGGGGAUGGGGCACCCACAGCUCCAGGCAGCCUGUCUUCAUCCUCUCCAUCCCCAUGCCGCAUUUUAUUAGGUUGUGAGUGCAAAAGGACAUUGAAAAUCCCUGUCAACGGCAUCAAGACAGACACUGGGAGCUCUGGUGAAUUAGGAGGAAUUAGUACCUGCAUUUCAUCGUUAAGUCCCACAUAGGACCCAUAGAAGAAAUAAGUCCCCAGCAAAGCCAGAAGCCAACGGCCCCCAUUGUGCAUCCACAGCUUCUCCCUGGCUGCGUGGUGCCACAUCACAGUAACCCCAAAUGUCUCUUUGCACACAGCCCACAAUGUACAGCAAGGAAACGUCCCGGUCAGGAUGCAUUUGGGGUCAUCAUGUGUUUUUCUAAAGUAGAAAAGUGUGACUGUCCACCCCUGUGCUGUCUGUGCUUCCAAGCCGCUCUUGUCCUGGUUUGUACGGAGCAGGAGCAAAGAUUUUUGCCACACAAAGAAAUGCUCUUCCUAGCAAAAAAUAGAGGGAGAGAAAGGAGCCAAAGCAGAAAGCAAGAGCCAGUGGGAGAGAUGGAAGUAGGGCUUUCCGGUGGGGAACGCAACACCUCUCUAUGCUGCAAGGGCUGGCACUGGAUUCAGAUGAACGCAUAUAUCUGCACUGCCUGAGAUCCCAGUGCUUGCCUUGGGUUGCAUCAGGUCUGGUUUGGGUUCGUUUUCCUAUAAAAUGAGAGCAGCAGCACAAGGGUAAUCCCGUACUCAGGGCACGGACCUGCAGGUUCAGUCUCUGAGAGGGAUGUGACCCCAACACCCCACGUCCUGGGGGGUGCCCUCCUCCCUGGGCCUCAAGUCGGGCUCUUUCCUGAGUAACUAACUGCUGAAUUACUGACACACACUGGCCCAGAAGUGAUUUAGAGAAAUGCACCUGCAAUCCCCCUUAAAGCCCCAGGGUCUUCCUGACGUGAGAAGCCAUAUCCCCGUGUCCCCACAGAAUCACAGAAUCAUUAAGAUUGGAAAAGACCACUGAGAUCAUCUAGUCCAACCAUCCGCACCUCCCUGUGUCCCCACGUCCCCAUAUCCUCAUGUCCCCGUGUCCCCGCUGCAUGCCAGGGUCCCCUCCGGGUUCCAGCAGCACCUUGGAUGGUGCCAUCACCUGCCGGGAAAUGAUUGUACCCCUGUGGUUCCAACUCCAAGUCCUAUCCCCUUGCCCUCCCCCAACAACCCUUCACGGAAACCGGUAGGCUGCAGCCAAACAACCCAACAACCACCGGUUCUGCCCAAGUGCCGUUUUCUGCCCCGUUUUCUGCCCCACACACACGUGAGAACGGCACCGGGCGCUCGGUGCCACCGCUCCCCCCCGCGGAGCCGCCGCAGCGCUGGAAAGAGUGAGUCAGCGCUCCGCACCCGCGGGAGGUGUCGUGGGACGGGCCCGGGGAGUUCCCAUUAACCCCAUUAACCCGUUCACGUGGAUUUCAGGGCCGGGGAGAGGCGGCGGUGGGGGAAUUGGGGUUUUUCUCCCCCUCCCCCCCCCCUCUUUCCCCUUCCCGAUGCGGUAUGAAGUUGCGGUGCUCUCCUCCCCACUCGUCUCUGUCGUCGCUCUGGGAACGAAAGCAGCGCCCGCACCGCCGGGAUUGGGAUGCUCCGAACGCUCCCCCCUGAAUGUGCGUGAGCAAAUGGUGCCAGCGCUGCGCUCCGGGCUGGCUCCGCGUGCAGCUCCGCGUCCUCGGGAGCGGGCGGUGCGGCCAGGAACUGCUGUCCCAGCGCAGCACCAGCCCCGUGCCGGCACCGCACUGCAGCAGCGUCCUGCAGCCGGGCGUCCCUGUACGGUGCCGUGGUGGAAAAGUGGGGGAAAAAAAUGGGAAGGGAGCAAACACAGGCUCCAAACUACAAGGAUAGUGGUGGGAAACAAAUUUUGCAUCCCUUCUCAACCUUUUGCAUCCCCUUGUAUCCCAUUGCAACCCCUUCCAUCCCAUUGCAACCCUUUGUGUCCCUUUCCAUCCCAUUGCAACCCUCUGCAACUCUUGGCAUCCCUUUGCAACCCACUGAAUCCCACAGAAGCUCCUUGCAUGCCAUUGCAACCUUUUGCGUGCCCUUGUAUCCCAUUGCAACCCUUUGUAUCCCUUUGCAUCGCACUGCAACCCUCUGCAACCCUUAGGCAUCUCUUUGCAUCCCUCUGCAACCCCUUGCAUGCCACUGCAUCCCACUGAAACCCCUUGCAUCCCUUUGCAACCUUUUGUAUCUUUUUGCAUCCCUUUGAAACCCCCUCCUACCCUGUGUACCCA